Trifolium pratense (red clover) is the source of this 1398-nucleotide long non-coding RNA. RefSeq lists it as uncharacterized. The transcript is spliced from 5 exons. The record is from RefSeq and is a predicted model, not a curated record. Lineage: Eukaryota; Viridiplantae; Streptophyta; Magnoliopsida; Fabales; Fabaceae.
CCUUAGUCUGAAUGCAAUUUCAAUGUGAAUGCUUCAUAACUUCACAUGUAAUUGGAGAAGAAGACCCUUGGUGCCUUAGAUGCAAAAUUGAAGAAGAAGUUUAAUGGUGAUUGGUGAAAUGGUACUGGUUUCAUAAGUAGUUAAAUCAUCUCAAUAUUCUUUUUGAAGAUAAGCCAUUUUUUAAAUAUGUUUGAAACACUUGCUUCUUCACUUCUAAUGUUGUGAUAGAAUUUGUAACUGAUGCUGUUAAUGUUUAAGGCAUGAACCACCUAUGAUGGCUUGUGUUUGAGGUCUAAGCUUAAAUAGGAUCUAAGCUUAAAAGGUAAUUGUUCUAACUCGGUUUCAUGCUCUGUUUGGUUUUAUUAAUGUCAUACACUUUUGCAUGAAUUUUUCAUACACCAACUGGUUUGAGUCGGUGUUUGAUGUUAGAUCUUGACUCACAUUACUAGAUUCGCGAGAUCUCGCUUCUCAACUCCAUUGGCUAUACCUAAUAUAUAUAGGUUCAUGUCUAUAUUAACUAACAUAAAUGACUGUUGUUUAUUGGUGUGGUGGCUAUUGUCAUUAUUAUUGUUAGUAUUAUGGUUUUCAGGGUACCCUCACAGAUGGAAAAGAGGUUGCCAUCAAACGAAACUCAAAGAUGUCUGAUCAAGGAUUGGAUGAGUUUAAAAAUGAAGUUUUUAUGAUUGCAAAACUUCAGCAUCGUAAUCUUGUGAAGCUUCUUGGUUGUUGUAUUAAAGGAGAGGAAAAAACGUUGAUCUAUCAAUACAUGCACAACAGGAGCUUGGACUACUUCAUCUUUGGGAAAAUGAAAACUUGGUGAAGGGACAUGUGCAGAGAUGUACUGAUUGGACAGAACCUGCAGGCUGCAGCUACAAAGUCAACAAUAAUGCUGGAGGAAUUGCCGAAUGAUCUCGCAAGAGUGGAUAUGCUGUUUCAGGAUGCAGUGGAUCAAUUAGUGAAGAAGAGAUUUCCUUUCUCAUAUUGUCUGGGAAAUAUAUAGCCAUUGCUUUAGUUGAUCACAAUAAAUUGAGUCAUGCUUGGCAAGAUUUUCAUGUCCCUGGCGUCUUGAGCAGUAAUUCUGACUACACAGGUGAUAUAUUUGCUUUAACUUAUUUGCAUAUGCUUCAUAUGCAUUCCUAUGUUGCAAUUAUGCUGUAUAAGUAUAUCAAGCAUUCUUUUGAUUUAUUUAGUUAACUUAUGCAGUGUGCAUGUACUGAAUGACUUUAUAUAAUGAGUUUAGAGAAAUAUAUCAAUAAACUAUUAUAUUUCUUCUUUGACUCACCAAAAAAAAAGAAGAGUGUUUCUUCUUUGAGUGUCUUGAUUAAGUCGACUUGGAUUAUUCUGAUUCCGGUGUAACUUUUAAAUACCAAGAACCUAAGACCGGAAAGGGUAUACAUC